RNAcentral lists this ribosomal RNA (253 nucleotides) under uncultured bacterium. RNAcentral's name for it is "partial 16S ribosomal RNA". It matches the Rfam family "Bacterial small subunit ribosomal RNA", at positions 524 to 776 of the family's 1533-position model. The record is from RNAcentral.
UACGUAGGGGGCAAGCGUUGUCCGGAAUCAUUGGGCGUAAAGAGCGUGUAGGCGGUUCGGUAAGUCGGCUGUGAAAGUCCAGGGCUCAACCCUGGGAUGCCGGUCGAUACUGCCGGACUAGAGUUCGGAAGAGGCGAGUGGAAUUCCCGGUGUAGCGGUGAGAUGCGCAGAUAUCGGGAGGAACACCUAUGGCGAAGGCAGCUCGCUGGGACGUUACUGACGCUGAGACGCGAAAGCGUGGGGAGCAAACAGG